Long non-coding RNA from Passer domesticus (house sparrow), 878 nucleotides. RefSeq lists it as uncharacterized. The transcript is spliced from 5 exons. The record is from RefSeq and is a predicted model, not a curated record. Lineage: Eukaryota; Metazoa; Chordata; Aves; Passeriformes; Passeridae.
GCACUGCUGUUUUUGCCACAGCUGUGCACAGUAAUUUGUAAAGUAAGCCAACAGAGAGGCAUUUCUAUGUCUUUAUUUUGUGCUUUGUGAUAGUGUUAGAAUGAGGUGUGAUGCUCCUUGGACCUUCUGGAGACCAGAGUGAUUUUUCUCUGACCCUCUGUAAGGGCAGGAGGAGCCAGAGGGAGAACUGAAGCUAAAUGCUGGGGGGGAGGGAUGUGCAUAAAGAUGCUGAAAGCUCUGAUGUGAAAGGGCAGCUGGAACCGAGGACUGUGGGGAAUAUGUCAGAGCAUUUAAAUAUUAAUGGAAGACUUGGAAUGGAGAUGUAUGACUGGGCAUGGCUCGUUCACAGGCAAAGCUGGUUCAAAAAACUCCAGAGCCUAAAGACAUUCUGACCUCGAAGGCUCUGAACACACAGGGACAAAGGAGAGGCUGAUCCAUUCUCAGGCCUCAUCCUCUCACUUCUCUGUCUGGUGGAGCUGGAGAUUUGGGAUAGAUACUCGUAUAUUAAUUGUGCAAUACCACAUUUACUGAAUAACCUGAAGCAGAGAGACAGGGGUAGCACACAGCCCAGCCUUGGAGGUGAUGAAGAGAGAGGGCUGAUCCCCAGAAAGCACUGGUCUCCAUGGAGGAAGACACAGUCAGGCUGGAGAAACCCAGGGAGAAAAACCAUCUUUGCAGCAGCACUCUGAACUGAAAAAAUAAUUUACUUCUAUGCUGACUAAUUUUGAUUUUUUCUAUACUGAAGGAGUUUUUGUUCUCUUCUGCUCACAAACCCUGGCUCUCAAAUUUUGUAUAUUUGUAGAGCUCAGGGUGGGGAAGGGGCUGGGUGGGUCCCGUCAAGAUUUGUCUGACUCAUGUCUAUCAGGAGAGGCAGUGGA